This 465-nucleotide ribosomal RNA is filed under the name Vreelandella stevensii. Its description in RNAcentral is "partial 16S ribosomal RNA". It matches the Rfam family "Bacterial small subunit ribosomal RNA", at positions 338 to 795 of the family's 1533-position model. Lineage: Bacteria; Pseudomonadati; Pseudomonadota; Gammaproteobacteria; Oceanospirillales; Halomonadaceae. The record is from RNAcentral.
CCUACGGGUGGCAGCAGUGGGGAAUAUUGGACAAUGGGGGGAACCCUGAUCCAGCCAUGCCGCGUGUGUGAAGAAGGCCCUCGGGUUGUAAAGCACUUUCAGUGAGGAAGAACGCCUGGUGGUUAAUACCCAUCAGGAAGGACAUCACUCACAGAAGAAGCACCGGCUAACUCCGUGCCAGCAGCCGCGGUAAUACGGAGGGUGCGAGCGUUAAUCGGAAUUACUGGGCGUAAAGCGCGCGUAGGUGGCUUGAUAAGCCGGUUGUGAAAGCCCCGGGCUCAACCUGGGAACGGCAUCCGGAACUGUCAAGCUAGAGUGCAGGAGAGGAAGGUAGAAUUCCCGGUGUAGCGGUGAAAUGCGUAGAGAUCGGGAGGAAUACCAGUGGCGAAGGCGGCCUUCUGGACUGACACUGACACUGAGGUGCGAAAGCGUGGGUAGCAAACAGGAUUAGAUACCCCUGUAGUC